Molecule: ribosomal RNA, 207 nt
Filed under: uncultured bacterium
Lineage: Bacteria
Description: partial 16S ribosomal RNA
Rfam family: Bacterial small subunit ribosomal RNA
Source: RNAcentral
UGCGCAGGCGGCUUCGUAUGUCGGAUGUGAAAUCUUACCUUUCAUGGGUGAAACUGCAUUCGAAACUGCGGGGCUAGAGUACGGGAGAGGGGAGCGGAAUUCUUGGUGUAGCGGUGAAAUGCGUAGAUAUCAAGAGGAACACCGGUGGCGAAGGCGGCUCUCUGGAACGAUACUGACGCUGAGGCAUGAAAGCUGGGGGAGCAAACA